UUUUCUGAGGGUUAUUCCCAGUUUUCCAAGCGUUAUUCCCACUUUUCCAUGAAUUAUUCCCAAUUUUCUGAGGGUUCUUCCUAGUUUUCCGGGGGUUAUUCCCAUUUUUCCGGGGGUUAUUCCCACUUUUCCACGAAUUAUUCCCACUUUUCCAUGAAUUAUUCCCACUUUUCCAUGAAUUAUUCCCAAUUUUCUGAGGGUUCUUCCCGGUUUUCCAAGGGUCUUUCCCAUUUUUCCGAGGGUUCUUCCCAAUUUUCCGAGAUUUAUUCCCAUUUUGCUCAUGUUCUUCCCAGUUUUCCAGGAGUUAUUCCCAUUUUUCUGUGAGUUAUUCCCAAUUUUCCAACAAUUAUUCCCAAUGUUCCAAAGGUUAUUCCCAUUUUUCUGGGGGUUAUUUCCCAUUUUCCAAGAAUUAUUCCCAUUUUCCGGGGUUAUUCCCAUUUUUCCAAGGAUUAUUCCCAUUUUUCUGAGUUAUUCCCACUUUUCUGAGAAUUAUUUAUGUUUUUCCCGGGGGUUAUUCCCAUUUUUCCAGGGGUUAUUCCCAAAUUUUCCAAGAAUUUUUCCCAUUUCUUGGGGGUUAUUCCCAUUUUCCAAGGAUUAUUCCCAUUUUUUCUGCGAAUUAUUCCCGAUUUUUCCAGGAUAAUUCCCAUUUUUCUGAGUGUUAUUUCAAAUUUUCAAUAAUUAUUCCCGUUUUCCAGGUUUAUUCCAAAUUUUCUCGAAGUUAUUCCCGUUUUUCUGUGAGUUUUCCCAUUUUUCCUGGAUUUAUUCCCGUUUUUCCAAGAAUUAUUCCCGUUUUUCCGAGGGUUAUUCCCAAUUUUCCCGGGGUCUCGGGUUCCAAUAUUUAAUAUAAAUAAAGACGUGUGAAUAUU
This is a long non-coding RNA of Passer montanus (Eurasian tree sparrow), 866 nucleotides long. RefSeq lists it as uncharacterized. The record is from RefSeq and is a predicted model, not a curated record. Lineage: Eukaryota; Metazoa; Chordata; Aves; Passeriformes; Passeridae. The transcript is spliced from 2 exons.